GCUGGAAGUUGGAUUCAAUGUUGGAUGAGCCUUCAUUAAGUACCAAAUCUACUUGCACCUCUACCUCAGAAUUCCUAGGGCUAUGCUGAAGGAGAAGCUGCUACCAGAUCCAGGAUGACAAUACUUACCAGAGGACAGAGGAAACUUUAUAUGACAUUAUAGUGCAUGGUUUCUAGUUUAGUGUUUUACCUGGGAUUUGAUUUGCAUGUGAAGUCAUAUUUCCUGGACUUUGGACUUCUAACAUUCUUUACCCUGUUUCAGAACUAUGGAUAUCCAUCGUAUUCAAGAAUAAAAAUGCUGCUGACACAAAAUACUUUCUAUAAAGCAUAGAAAAUUAUGUUUGAUUGUUUAAUAAACACAUUCAAAUUAUGUGCACAUAUGCAACCUAAAUGAGGCUGUUGUCAAAAGGCAAAGUACAGCAAAUUUAUCUUAAAGGUAUUUCAGUGGCUUUGUGAUGUUUGAAUCAGGCAACACUUCAUUUCAUGAAACAGAAGAAAUGCUCUAAUGAAGCUUGAGCUGAUUUAUACACAAAGAGAAACUGAAGAAAGCAUAUACAAAUAACAAACUGGGUGGUAAGCUGUUCCAAGAUCCUUUGGCAGAAGAUACAGAG
Meriones unguiculatus (Mongolian gerbil) is the source of this 610-nucleotide long non-coding RNA. RefSeq lists it as uncharacterized. The record is from RefSeq and is a predicted model, not a curated record. The transcript has 3 exons. NCBI's taxonomy places the organism in Eukaryota, Metazoa, Chordata, Mammalia, Rodentia, Muridae.